RNAcentral lists this ribosomal RNA (257 nucleotides) under uncultured bacterium. RNAcentral describes it as "partial 16S ribosomal RNA". The record is from RNAcentral.
CUGCUGCCUUCCGUAGGAGUUUGGGCCGUGUCUCAGUCCCAAUGUGGCCGUUCACCCUCUCAGGCCGGCUACUGAUCGUCGCCUUGGUGGGCCGUUACCCCGCCAACCAGCUAAUCAGACGCGGGUCCAUCUUGCACCACCGGAGUUUUUCACACUGAGCCAUGCGGCUCUGUGCGCUUAUGCGGUAUUAGCACCUAUUUCUAAGUGUUAUCCCCCGGUGCAAGGCAGGUUCCCCACGCGUUACUCACCCGUCGCCA